Molecule: ribosomal RNA, 253 nt
Filed under: uncultured bacterium
Lineage: Bacteria
Description: partial 16S ribosomal RNA
Rfam family: Bacterial small subunit ribosomal RNA
Source: RNAcentral
UACGUAGGGGGCAAGCGUUGUCCGGAUUUAUUGGGCGUAAAGAGCGUGUAGGCGGCCAUGUAGGUCCGGUGUGAAAACUCGAGGCUUAACCUCGAGAUGUCAUCGGAAACCAUUUGGCUAGAGUCCGGAAGAGGAGAGUGGAAUUCCUGGUGUAGCGGUGAAAUGCGCAGAUAUCAGGAAGAACACCAAUGGCGAAGGCAGCUCUCUGGGACGGUACUGACGCUGAGACGCGAAAGCGUGGGGAGCGAACAGG